RNAcentral lists this transfer RNA (73 nucleotides) under Cistopus chinensis. RNAcentral describes it as "tRNA-Phe". The record is from RNAcentral. Lineage: Eukaryota; Metazoa; Mollusca; Cephalopoda; Octopoda; Octopodidae.
ACUUUUUAAUUAUUUAUAUUUAGUAAUCAAUUAUUAAAGGUAAUUAUAUUUACAAUUUCAAGUGUAAUAGGUA